ACUGGAUGGGGUGGUGGUGAGUGGUGAAUACAUGGCUAUUCUUCUUCUUCUAUUCUCUUAUUGAAGUCGAUCGAUUGGUGACGGUGUGCUCAGGUUUUAUUCAUUUCAUUCAGCGCCAAUCAAAGCCCAAAAGUUUCCUUUUUUUGCCAAUGGAUGUUUUGAUCAAUCCGUCGACUCUACAUUUGGGGGUGGUAAUUACUAGCAUCAUCAUCAUCAUCAUCAUCAUCAUCAUCAUCAUCAUCAUCAUCAUCAUCAUCAUCAUCAUCAUCAUCAUCAUCAUCAUCAUCAUCCAUCAUCAUUGCUGGCCAGGCGUUGGUCACGGAACCAUUUCAAGCUUUCCAUCAUCAAAAGAUUA
RNAcentral lists this small RNA (355 nucleotides) under Histoplasma capsulatum var. duboisii H88. RNAcentral's name for it is "Histoplasma capsulatum H88 hypothetical RNA". Lineage: Eukaryota; Fungi; Ascomycota; Eurotiomycetes; Onygenales; Ajellomycetaceae. The record is from RNAcentral.